RNAcentral lists this long non-coding RNA (1305 nucleotides) under Parus major (Great Tit). Its description in RNAcentral is "lncRNA (ENSPMJG00000019099.1)". The record is from RNAcentral. Lineage: Eukaryota; Metazoa; Chordata; Aves; Passeriformes; Paridae.
GCCCAGACCCCCCAACAUCCCACCCUGGGCACCCCUGGAGCUCUGGCAGCCUCGGGGCCGUGCCCAUUCCCUGGGGAGCCUGGGCAGUGCCAGCNCUGCCCAGGCUCCCCAGGGAAUGGGCACGGCCCCGAGGCUGCCAGAGCUCCAGGGGUGCCCAGGGUGGGAUGUUGGGGGGUCUGGGCAGGGACAGAAUGGAAUGGGAAUGGAUGAUCCCUGUGGGUCCCUUCCAGCCCAGGAUAUUCCAGGAUUCUGUGAUCCCCUGUUGGUGGGGAGCUCAGGCUGUGGUGCCCCAUCAGGUAUCCAAAGGAAUGAGUGUUUUCCCAUUGGGUGUUUUCCCAUCUGAACAAGCCCAGAAAUCCAGGGAGGGUAAACUGAGCAUCCCUUCCCUGCAUCCCAACAUCCUCUGAGCCAGGAACAGAUCCUGAGCAGCAGGAGGGGAGGGAGGGGAGGAAAUCACAAUGGAAUGUGCUGGAAAACUCUUGCUCCUCUGCUGCAUUUCUCCUGGUGCUCUGAGCAGGGAGUGACUCACUGAUCCCACUUCCCCCCAGGGUCACCCUGGAAGGUGCAGGAGGCUUUGAGAAGACCUCAGAGCCCUGUGGGGCAGGCCCAGAGCAUUCCCUGCUUCAGGGUGAUCCCCACAGACUGCUCUUCCUGGUGCUCAUUAGCCAGGAAAACUGAGGAAAUGGAUCCUGAAGUGGCUGAGCACAGGAUGAAGAUUUCCUACAUGGUACCAACAUUUCAGUGAGCCCUAGAAUGAAACAGGAGAGAAUUCCCAGCAGAGCAGGGACACUCUUCCUCUCCCUGGGAUUUUCCAAUCCAUCAUGUCCAAGAAGGGCUGAAAUUCCAGCAGGAACAUUCCUGUUGCCAUGGCGACCGCGGAAUCGCUGGCUCCAUGGACACGGCCAGAGAUGUUUGAAGCGCUCAGAGAUGUCAAUUAUCACCCAUCACAUAAUGAGCCCUUCCAAGAAACCCCAGGUUGGCUUUACAGAGCCCAAACAGUUUCCCUUUUUCCAUUUGCUGCCUCUGUCACAGGGAAGUGCAGGUAAUUUAUGGAGUAAACCAUCCUUGAGUGGUGUCCCUAAAGCUCCGGAGUCACUUUAACCCUCAAAGGAAGCAUUUGCAAAAAUCUGCUUUGAAAGGAGCUGUUUUGAGUCACUUCAAGGACGUGAGACCUGGGAGCUGCUGGCUCCUCCUUUGUUUUCCAGAUCCAGGAAGGAAAAGCAGCCCCGCUCCACUUGGAUUCUUUCUUCAGUAGGAAAAAAAAUUAAAAAUAAAUAAAAUCAAGAAAGAAGAGUAAGAGGGCUG